GAUGAACGCUGGCGGCGUGCCUAAUACAUGCAAGUCGAGCGAACAGAUGAGGAGCUUGCUCCUCUGACUUAGCGGCGGACGGGUGAGUAACACGUGGAUAACCUACCUAUAAGACUGGGGUAACUUCGGGAAACCGGAGCUAAUACCGGAUAAUAUAUUUAACCGCAUGGGUCCAUAGUGAAAGACGGGUUUGCUGUCACUUAUAGAUGGAUCCGCGCCGCAUUAGCUAGUUGGUAAGGUAACGGCUUACCAAGGCAACGAUGCGUAGCCGACCUGAGAGGGUGAUCGGCCACACUGGAACUGAGACACGGUCCAGACUCCUACGGGAGGCAGCAGUAGGGAAUCUUCCGCAAUGGGCGAAAGCCUGACGGAGCAACGCCGCGUGAGUGAUGAAGGUCUUCGGAUCGUAAAACUCUGUUAUUAGGGAAGAACAAAUGUGUAAGUAACUAUGCACGUCUUGACGGUACCUAAUCAGAAAGCCACGGCUAACUACGUG
Molecule: ribosomal RNA, 496 nt
Filed under: uncultured bacterium
Lineage: Bacteria
Description: partial 16S ribosomal RNA
Rfam family: Bacterial small subunit ribosomal RNA
Source: RNAcentral